Molecule: long non-coding RNA, 352 nt
Filed under: Brachypodium distachyon (stiff brome)
Lineage: Eukaryota; Viridiplantae; Streptophyta; Magnoliopsida; Poales; Poaceae
Description: long non-coding RNA (BDIS_LNC000438)
Source: RNAcentral
GCCGUCAAUGCAAGUAAGGGCUGAUUAACCUACUUAUCAAUCAAACCAAGCAAGGGCUCUCCUCUUCAACAGAAGUAAUGGGUUGUUCUUCUUGUAGGGAAGCAGAGGCUGGAAAGCUAAGCUAUUUCUUUUUCUUGGACUUGAGGGAGAGUACUGGCAUCCAACCUGUUUCCUAUAAUCUGGUAUCUGCUUCUUCUGCUUUUCCCGGCUCUAGUGCUUGAUCUAUCUUACCUUCCUCUUUCUUUCUUUCUUUAUUGUUCAAUUCGUUUUAUUGCUUUGCUAGCAUUCCAAAGAUUACCCCACGACCCACUACCUUCUUGCUCAAUGAUAAUUGGCAUGAAUUUAUGAUUGG